Molecule: transfer RNA, 73 nt
Filed under: Poecilia formosa (Amazon molly)
Lineage: Eukaryota; Metazoa; Chordata; Actinopteri; Cyprinodontiformes; Poeciliidae
Rfam family: tRNA
About the family: Transfer RNA (tRNA) molecules are approximately 80 nucleotides in length. Their secondary structure includes four short double-helical elements and three loops (D, anti-codon, and T loops).
Source: Rfam by way of RNAcentral
GUUUCUGUAGUGUAGUGGUUAUCGCAUUGGCUUUACACGCAAAAGGUUUCUGGUUCAAAACCAGACAAGAACA